UUNANNNNNNNNNAGUCGAACGGUAACAGGAAGAAAGCUUGCUUUCUUUGCUGACGAGUGGCGGACGGGUGAGUAAUGCUUGGGAAUCUGGCUUAUGGAGGGGGAUAACUACUGGAAACGGUAGCUAAUACCGCGUAAUGUCUACGGACUAAAAGGGGCGAAAGCUCUUGCCAUAAGAUGAGCCCAAGUGGGAUUAGGUAGUUGGUGAGGUAACGGCUCACCAAGCCGUCGAUCUCUAGCUGGUCUGAGAGGAUGACCAGCCACACUGGAACUGAGACACGGUCCAGACUCCUACGGGAGGCAGCAGUGGGGAAUAUUGCACAAUGGGGGAAACCCUGAUGCAGCCAUGCCGCGUGAAUGAAGAAGGCCUUCGGGUUGUAAAGUUCUUUCGGUGAUGAGGAAGGUGUAAUGGUUAAUACCCAUUACAAUUGACGUUAGUCACAGAAGAAGCACCGGCUAACUCCGUGCCAGCAGCCGCGGUAAUACGGAGGGUGCAAGCGUUAAUCGGAAUAACUGGGCGUAAAGGGCACGCAGGCGGUUGUUUAAGUGAGGUGUGAAAGCCCCGGGCUCAACCUGGGAAUUGCAUUUCAGACUGGACAACUAGAGUACUUUAGGGAGGGGUAGAAUUCCACGUGUAGCGGUGAAAUGCGUAGAGA
RNAcentral lists this ribosomal RNA (656 nucleotides) under Muribacter muris. Its description in RNAcentral is "bacterial SSU rRNA". It matches the Rfam family "Bacterial small subunit ribosomal RNA", at positions 47 to 696 of the family's 1533-position model. The record is from RNAcentral. Lineage: Bacteria; Pseudomonadati; Pseudomonadota; Gammaproteobacteria; Pasteurellales; Pasteurellaceae.